UCCAGAGCCGAGCGAGCGAGUAGUACUAUACGGUGCCUUCGAGACGGACAGACCGUCUAGUGCGUCGUCGUCGUCCCCUGCACGUCAAAGAGACGCAACGAGUUGUUAACGCUAGGUAAACAGAUAACACCCACCCAUCGGUUGAACAACGAUUUUCGCCCGAGUAUCGUUAAACAAGCCAACCGAGCAGUACAAUUGCACAUUCUUGACGUGAGAGUCGAAGACGGCAACUCCCCCUCAAGGAGAGACAGGAAGAGAAGGGUAGAGUGUGCACGGUAGCGACAAGGAAAGCUGCAACUGUUCUUUGGCUCCUCGAGGUUUCCUGCGUCGUCGUCGUCGUCGUCGUUCGCUAGUCGCUGGGAGUCAACGACAAGCACACAUACGCACACACUGUCUCUCGCAGCACGCGCGCAGCUGAUACAAAAGACACCACCGACCAACACACCACCACCGACCCCAAAAAGAGAUAGAGACACAAAACGGCGCGUGCACCCGCAAAAUUCAAAGAGAAUCACUGAGCUCGGCCGUCCAGCACCACCACCACGCUCUCGUCGCAAGGUCGAGUCCUCGAGAGACUCGGGGGGAGCAAACGACAAGAGGACGACCCUCGGAGGAAGCGCCGAUCACCCGGGAGCCGCGAGUCCGCGGAGGGAGUGGCGGGACAGGCGGAGUUGGCGCCGUUCGGAGGUACGGAGGCGCCGGGACGCCACCGCCGCGGCUGCACCCAUGCCGGCCGGGGGUAUUGGGGCCUCGUACCGGUCCCUCGGGGACCUGGGCGAGGACGUCUACAAGAGCACGACCAUCGUCGAGCAGACCAAAACAACCAGCCAGAGCGUGCUCGAGAGCGUCAAAAAGGCCUUCAGCUUUGCCGCGCCUAAGAUCGAGCUCGCGCUCAGGAAGAAGGAGCCGCUGAUCGUCGACAGACGCGAGAGCGUGUCCAUCGUCACCAGGGAAAAACACAAGAUGCCGACCGCAGCCAGUGCCGAGGAGUCUGCUCUGUUGGGCGCGAUGCCAUCGGACGCCAGUAUGGACGACAUCGAGCUGAAGAACAUUCAGCUGCAGUUCCCCACGUUGAGGUACCUCACGAGGGACGACGGCUCCGUCCGGGAGGAAAGGGUCGAGACCGACAGGGGCGCGCUUAUCGUCGCCGUUCAAGGGAACCGGGCGAAGCCAGCCAUUCUCACGUAUCACGAUCUUGGCCUUAACUAUAUCUCGAGCUUCCAGGCAUUCUUUAACUACAUUGACAUGCGAGUGCUCCUGGAAAAUUUCUGCGUCUACCACGUGAACGCUCCAGGCCAGGAGGAGGGCGCCCCAACAUUACCCGAAGACUACGUGUACCCAUCCAUGGAGGAACUGGGCGAGCAGCUGCUGUUCGUGAUGGGGCACUUUGGGCUAAAAAGCGCGAUCGGAUUCGGCGUCGGUGCCGGCGCUAACAUCCUCGCCCGCUUCGCCCUGGCGCAUCCCGAGAAGGUCAACGCCCUCUGUCUCAUCAAUUGCGUGUCCACGCAAGCCGGCUGGAUAGAAUGGGGCUACCAGAAGCUCAAUUGCCGCCACUUGCGCUCCCAGGGCAUGACCCAGGGGGUUCUCGACUACCUCAUGUGGCACCACUUCGGCAGGGGCACCGAGGAGAGGAACCACGAUCUCGUGCAGGUCUACAAGAACUACUUCGAGCGCCGGGUGAACCCGACAAACCUCGCGCUGUUGAUCGACAGCUACGUGCGCCGUACGGACCUCAACAUAACUCGAGAGCUCGACCCGACGCGUAAGAAGGACAGCUCGACCCUCAACGUGCCGGUGAUGAACAUCACGGGCUCCCUCAGCCCCCACGUCGACGACACGGUCACGCUCAAUGGGCGCCUCGAUCCCACCAACAGCUCGUGGAUGAAGAUCUCAGACUGCGGCAUGGUUUUGGAAGAGCAACCGGGCAAAGUAAGCGAAGCCUUUCGGCUGUUCCUGCAGGGUGAAGGAUAUGUGGUGAGAUCCCCGGGGAAGACCACGACGCCUACAACACCCGAAGGUAAUUGUAAUUAGGAAUUGAGGCCGCAAAAGGAGUCGAACGCGCUGUGUCGGUCAAUUAAUCCACGUCUAAGCGUUAAUUGCACCCCUCUCGCCGUUAAAGAUGGCGGACUACAGACGUGCUUCGACCGAGGGUCUGAAUUUCAUCUGCGCCAAGAAAAUAGAUUGGC
Molecule: unclassified non-coding RNA, 2186 nt
Filed under: Copidosoma floridanum
Lineage: Eukaryota; Metazoa; Arthropoda; Insecta; Hymenoptera; Encyrtidae
Description: protein NDRG3, transcript variant X6
Source: RNAcentral